Molecule: ribosomal RNA, 382 nt
Filed under: uncultured bacterium
Lineage: Bacteria
Description: bacterial SSU rRNA
Rfam family: Bacterial small subunit ribosomal RNA
Source: RNAcentral
ACUCCUACGGGAGGCAGCAGUGGGGAAUAUUGCACAAUGGGCGCAAGCCUGAUGCAGCCAUGCCGCGUGUGUGAAGAAGGCCUUCGGUUGUAAAGACACUUUCUAGCAGUGAGGAAGGCGGGUAGUGUUAAUAAGCAUAUUCGUUUGUACGUUAGCUGCAGAAGAAAGCACCGGGCUAACUCCGUGCCAGCAGCCGCGGUAAUACGGAGGGUGCGAGCGUUAAUCGGAAUUACUGGCGUAAAGCGCAUGCAGGUGGUUUGUUAAGUCAGAUGUGAAAGCCGGGGCUCAACCUCGGAAUAGCAUUUGAAACUGGCAGACUAGAGUACUGUAGAGGGGGUAGAAUUUCAGGUGUAGCGGUGAAAUGCGUAGAGAUCUGAAGGAA